Molecule: RNA transcript, 991 nt
Organism: Pipistrellus kuhlii (Kuhl's pipistrelle)
Lineage: Eukaryota; Metazoa; Chordata; Mammalia; Chiroptera; Vespertilionidae
Gene name: 40S ribosomal protein SA-like
Exons: 1
Source: RefSeq, a predicted model, not a curated record
UAUCUUGCUUUCCGUGCUACCCAGGGAGGGCUCCAUACGGCGUUGUUCUCGGCUCCCACGUAACUGAAAGGGAAACUUUUCACAAUGUCCGGUGCCCUUGAUGUCCUGCAAAUGAAGGAGGUGGGUGUCCUCAAAUUCCUUGCAGCAGGAACCCACUUAGGUGGCACCAACCUUGACUUCCAGAUGGAAUAGCGCAUUUACAAGAAGAAAAGCGAUGGCUCCUACAUCAUCAAUCGGAGAGGACCUGGGAGGAGCUUCUGCUGGCAGCCGGGCCAUUGUGCCAUCGAAAACCCAGCUGACAUCAGUGUCCUGUCGUCCAGGAAUCCUGGCCAGCGAGCUGCGCUGAAGCUUGCUGUUGCCACUGGAGCCGCUCCUAUUGCCGCUUCACUCUUGGAACCUUCACCAACCAGACCCAGGCAGCCUUCCGGAGCCAAGGUUCUGGUGGUUACUGACCCCAGGGCUGACCACCGGCCUCUCACAGAGGCGUCUUAUGUUAACCCGCCCACCAUUGCUCUGCGUAACACAGACUCUCCUCUGCACUAUGUGGACAUUGCCAUCCCUUGCAGCAACAAGGGGCCUCACUCAGUGGGUCUGACACAUGCGUGGCACCACCUCCGUGAACACCCGUGGGAGGGCAUGCCUGAUCUUUACUUCUACAGAGAUCCUGAGGAGACUGAAAAGGCAGAGCAGCCAUGGCUGGAAAGGCUGCGACCAAGGAGGAGUUUCAGGGUGAAGGGACUGCUCCCGAGUUCACUGCUGCUCAGCCUGAGGUUGCAGACUGGUCUGAAGGUGUUCAGGGCCCUCUUACCCAUUCAGCAUUUUCCUAAUGAAGACUGGAGUGCUCAGCCUCCCUCUGGAGACUGGUCUGCAGCCCCCAGUGCUCAGGCUACUGAAUGGGUAGGAACAGCCACUGAGUGGUCCUAAGCUGUUCUUCCACAAAUUCUUAACAGAAUGGAAAUAGGUUGAUGGAAAACAAAGUUUCUAAAAGUUG